RNAcentral lists this non-coding RNA (45 nucleotides) under Schistosoma margrebowiei. Lineage: Eukaryota; Metazoa; Platyhelminthes; Trematoda; Strigeidida; Schistosomatidae. The record is from RNAcentral.
AUUCAGCUGAUGGGUUUCGAUUGGGACGAAACGCGCGUCCUGGAU